GUCACCUUUAAACUGGUCCCGUGAGGCUGGUAAGGUGAGGCGAAAAGAUAGAAGGAAAAAAGCCUUUCUCUGCCUGACGGAGGAGGGCUUUUUUUUUGCCUAAAUCCGUUGUAGAUUAAUAAUAUUCUAAAAAAAAUCCCUAUGCCUCACGGCAUAGGGAUUUUUUUAA
Molecule: non-coding RNA, 169 nt
Organism: Thermovenabulum gondwanense
Lineage: Bacteria; Bacillati; Bacillota; Clostridia; Thermosediminibacterales; Thermosediminibacteraceae
Source: Rfam